RNAcentral lists this non-coding RNA (26 nucleotides) under Homo sapiens (human). Lineage: Eukaryota; Metazoa; Chordata; Mammalia; Primates; Hominidae. The record is from RNAcentral.
UUCACUACACGCCAACCAGAGUGGUC